RNAcentral lists this long non-coding RNA (447 nucleotides) under Homo sapiens (human). RNAcentral's name for it is "HSALNT0156035". Lineage: Eukaryota; Metazoa; Chordata; Mammalia; Primates; Hominidae. The record is from RNAcentral.
CCGAGCGCCUGGCACGGCCGGGCCAUGCCCCGGGGAAGGAGGGACCAGGGCCGGGGGCGGGAGCCAGCCCUUGUGCUCGCAGCCCUGGGUUCGGAGCCCAGCUGCCCGGGAAGGUUUCCAGAUCUCCCUGAGCCUCAGUUUCCCCAUCUGUAAACUGGGUGGUGGUGGCUUCGUCCCCCGCUUUGAGAGGACAGCAGGAGAGGCGUCCUGAGAAGUGAGUUCGCCUGGAAGCUGCCGGGCUGUAGUUUGCGUUGAUACCACCGAUCUUCCCGGUCACUCUAGGAGACGGGCCAUAUCCCCGUUUUACAAAUGAGGAAACUAACUCAGCGAGGGGAGACGCCGUGUCCAGGGACACACACUUUCCUGGCUCCCCAGAUGGGAUUCUAGAGGCGUCCUCAGGAUCCAGAACAAGGUCUCCUUGGUGACAGGGGAGGCGAUGGGUAGCCC